Molecule: signal recognition particle RNA, 299 nt
Filed under: Aotus nancymaae (Ma's night monkey)
Lineage: Eukaryota; Metazoa; Chordata; Mammalia; Primates; Aotidae
Description: Metazoan signal recognition particle RNA (ENSANAG00000009541.1)
Rfam family: Metazoan signal recognition particle RNA
About the family: The signal recognition particle (SRP) is a universally conserved ribonucleoprotein. It is involved in the co-translational targeting of proteins to membranes. The eukaryotic SRP consists of a 300-nucleotide 7S RNA and six proteins: SRPs 72, 68, 54, 19, 14, and 9.
Source: RNAcentral
GCCGGGCUCGGUGGUGCAUGCCUAUAGUCUCAGCUAUUUGGGAGGCUGAGGCUGGAGGAGCUCUUGGGUCCAGGAGUUCUGAGCUGUAGUGCGCUAUGACGAUCGGGUGUCCGCACUAAGUUUGGCAUCAAUAUGGUGACCUCCCGGGAUCAGGUGACCACCAGGUUGCCUAAGGAGGGGUGAACCAGCCCAGGUUGGAAACGGAGCAGGUCAAAACUCCCGUGCUGAUCAGUAGUGGGAUCGUGCCUGUGAAUAGCCACUGCACUCCAGCCUGGGCAACAUAGCGAGACCCUACCUCU